GGCGACGUAGCUCAGCCGGUUAGAGCGAGGGAUUCAUAAGCCCUAGGUCGGUGGUUCGAGUCCACCCGUCGCUA
Molecule: transfer RNA, 74 nt
Filed under: Planctomycetota bacterium
Lineage: Bacteria; Pseudomonadati; Planctomycetota
Description: tRNA-Met
Rfam family: tRNA
About the family: Transfer RNA (tRNA) molecules are approximately 80 nucleotides in length. Their secondary structure includes four short double-helical elements and three loops (D, anti-codon, and T loops). Further hydrogen bonds mediate the characteristic L-shaped molecular structure. tRNAs have two regions of fundamental functional importance: the anti-codon, which is responsible for specific mRNA codon recognition, and the 3' end, to which the tRNAs corresponding amino acid is attached (by aminoacyl-tRNA synthetases). tRNAs cope with the degeneracy of the genetic code in two manners: having more than one tRNA (with a specific anti-codon) for a particular amino acid; and 'wobble' base-pairing, i.e. permitting non-standard base-pairing at the 3rd anti-codon position.
Source: RNAcentral